GUAGCCGACCUGAGAGGGUGAUCGGCCACAUUGGAACUGAGACACGGUCCAAACUCCUACGGGAGGCAGCAGUGGGGAAUAUUGCACAAUGGGCGAAAGCCUGAUGCAGCAACGCCGCGUGAGUGAUGAAGGCCUUCGGGUCGUAAAACUCUGUCCUCAAGGAAGAUAAUGACGGUACUUGAGGAGGAAGCCCCGGCUAACUACGUGCCAGCAGCCGCGGUAAUACGUAGGGGGCUAGCGUUAUCCGGAUUUACUGGGCGUAAAGGGUGCGUAGGCGGUCUUUCAAGUCAGGAGUGAAAGGCUACGGCUCAACCGUAGUAAGCUCUUGAAACUGGGAGACUUGAGUGCAGGAGAGGAGAGUGGAAUUCCUAGUGUAGCGGUGAAAUGCGUAGAUAUUAGGAGGAACACCAGUUGCGAAGGCGGCUCUCUGGACUGUAACUGACGCUGAGGCACGAAAGCGUGGGGAGCAAACAGG
This 475-nucleotide ribosomal RNA is filed under the name Clostridioides difficile. RNAcentral describes it as "bacterial SSU rRNA". It matches the Rfam family "Bacterial small subunit ribosomal RNA", at positions 283 to 776 of the family's 1533-position model. Lineage: Bacteria; Bacillati; Bacillota; Clostridia; Peptostreptococcales; Peptostreptococcaceae. The record is from RNAcentral.